UGAGUAGUAUUCCAUUGUGUAUGUAUGUAUGUGUAUAUAUAUAUAUAUUUGUAUACACACACACACAUAUACACACACAUACACACACACACACAC
RNAcentral lists this microRNA precursor (96 nucleotides) under Tursiops truncatus (common bottlenose dolphin). RNAcentral describes it as "miRNA (ENSTTRG00000022075.1)". Lineage: Eukaryota; Metazoa; Chordata; Mammalia; Artiodactyla; Delphinidae. The record is from RNAcentral.